UACGUAGGGGGCAAGCGUUGUCCGGAUUUAUUGGGCGUAAAGAGCGUGUAGGCGGCCAUACAGGUCCGUUGUGAAAACUCGAGGCUUAACCUCGAGACGUCGAUGGAAACCGUAUGGCUAGAGUCCGGAAGAGGAGAGUGGAAUUCCAGGUGUAGCGGUGAAAUGCGCAGAUAUCAGGAAGAACACCCGUGGCGAAGGCGGCUCUCUGGGACGGUACUGACGCUGAGACGCGAAAGCGUGGGGAGCGAACAGG
Molecule: ribosomal RNA, 253 nt
Filed under: uncultured bacterium
Lineage: Bacteria
Description: partial 16S ribosomal RNA
Rfam family: Bacterial small subunit ribosomal RNA
Source: RNAcentral